AUUGAACGCUGGCGGCAUGCCUUACACAUGCAAGUCGAACGGCAGCACGGGAGCAAUCCUGGUGGCGAGUGGCGAACGGGUGAGUAAUAUAUCGGAACGUGCCCGGUCGUGGGGGAUAACGUAGCGAAAGCUACGCUAAUACCGCAUACGAUCUACGGAUGAAAGCGGGGGAUCGCAAGACCUCGCGCGAUUGGAGCGGCCGAUAUCAGAUUAGGUAGUUGGUGAGGUAAAGGCUCACCAAGCCGACGAUCUGUAGCUGGUCUGAGAGGACGACCAGCCACACUGGGACUGAGACACGGCCCAGACUCCUACGGGAGGCAGCAGUGGGGAAUUUU
RNAcentral lists this ribosomal RNA (335 nucleotides) under uncultured bacterium. RNAcentral's name for it is "bacterial SSU rRNA". It matches the Rfam family "Bacterial small subunit ribosomal RNA", at positions 30 to 365 of the family's 1533-position model. The record is from RNAcentral.